GCCGGGUUGGUGGAAUAGGCAUACACGGCGCACUCAAAAUGCGCUGCCCUCACGGGCGUGUGGGUUCGAGUCCCACACCCGGCA
This 84-nucleotide transfer RNA is filed under the name Nocardioides oceani. Its description in RNAcentral is "tRNA-Leu". It matches the Rfam family "tRNA". Rfam says of the family: Transfer RNA (tRNA) molecules are approximately 80 nucleotides in length. Their secondary structure includes four short double-helical elements and three loops (D, anti-codon, and T loops). Lineage: Bacteria; Bacillati; Actinomycetota; Actinomycetes; Propionibacteriales; Nocardioidaceae. The record is from RNAcentral.